CUCGCAGGGUGAUUGAAAGAGGAAACAACUGGAUCAAAUCGGACAGCAGCCACAGAGUGGUUCUCAGAGAGCCUGGCUGUUGGGACAAGGAACGGAAGUAGAACGAUCCUCAGAGCUUGGUGUGUCAGCAUCAAGAAACAAGGACAACAAGGACCUGAUCUGAAAACAAGAUAGAAAGUACAGAGAAUGACAUUCGAAGUUGUUCUUUGACAUACAGGGAGGCAUCCCAAGGAUAUCAGCCAGCCAUCAUAUAUCAAGCUGCAGUGAGACCAGAUACCUGCUCCUCUACCCCAGUGUUCUUCUUAAAGGAUGCCCAUGGAAGGACACUCUUGUGUUUGCUUAUGAGAUACAGAUGUUGGGAUUCAUCCAAGGGACCACGAUGAGGCACGGUAGAGCCCAUAUGAGGAUCUGCAGAGUUGAUGCAAGAGAUCUUGCAGUGAGUGACCUCUUGCUUUAGAGCCUGCCUGGCUCAGUUGCCAAAAUGUUCCAGCCUUGAGUGGGGCCUCUGUGUUGUGGUUGCCAGGGGUCUGUAUAGAUACAUAUGCAGGCAAGAUGCUU
This 558-nucleotide long non-coding RNA is filed under the name Cricetulus griseus (Chinese hamster). RNAcentral's name for it is "lncRNA (ENSCGRG00015033831.1)". The record is from RNAcentral. Lineage: Eukaryota; Metazoa; Chordata; Mammalia; Rodentia; Cricetidae.